Molecule: ribosomal RNA, 108 nt
Filed under: Bacillus anthracis (anthrax bacterium)
Lineage: Bacteria; Bacillati; Bacillota; Bacilli; Caryophanales; Bacillaceae
Also listed under: 15 other names
Description: partial 16S ribosomal RNA
Rfam family: Bacterial small subunit ribosomal RNA
Source: RNAcentral
UUAUUGGAGAGUUUGAUCCUGGCUCAGGAUGAACGCUGGCGGCGUGCCUAAUACAUGCAAGUCGAGCGAAUGGAUUAAGAGCUUGCUCUUAUGAAGUUAGCGGCGGAC